This 1007-nucleotide ribosomal RNA is filed under the name uncultured archaeon. RNAcentral describes it as "bacterial SSU rRNA". It matches the Rfam family "Archaeal small subunit ribosomal RNA", at positions 23 to 1038 of the family's 1478-position model. The record is from RNAcentral.
GUCACUGCUAUCGGGGUUCGAUUAAGCCAUGCGAGUCGAGAGGGUUCGGCCCUCGGCGUACUGCUCAGUAACACGUGGAUAACCUGCCCUAGGGAAGGGGAUAACCCCGGGAAACUGGGGAUAAUACCCUAUAGAUUACAGAUGCUGGAAUGCCCUGUAAUCCAAAGUUCCGACGCCCUAGGAUGGAUCUGCGGCCGAUUAGGUUGUUGUUGGGGUAAUGGCCCAACAAGCCCGUAAUCGGUACGGGUUGUGGGAGCAAGAGCCCGGAGUUGGAUUCUGAGACACGAAUCCAGGCCCUACGGGGCGCAGCAGGCGCGAAAACUUUACAAUGCGGGCAACCGUGAUAAGGGAACCUCGAGUGCCUGUAAAUGCAGGCUGUUCAGGUGCCUAAAACACACCUGAAGAAAGGGCCGGGCAAGACCGGUGCCAGCCGCCGCGGUAAUACCGGCGGCUCGAGUGGUGGCCGCUUUUAUUGGGCUUAAAGCGUUCGUAGCUGGGUUGUUAAGUCUCUUGGGAAAUCUGGCGGCUUAACCGUCAGGCGUCUAAGGGAUACUGGCAAUCUUGGAACCGGGAGAGGUGAGGGGUACUUCGGGGGUAGGAGUGAAAUCCUGUAAUCCUCGAGGGACCACCUGUGGCGAAGGCGCCUCACCAGAACGGCUUCGACAGUGAGGGACGAAAGCUGGGGGAGCAAACCGGAUUAGAUACCCGGGUAGUCCCAGCCGUAAACUAUGCGCGUUAGGUGUAUCGGUGACCACGAGUUACCGAGGUGCCGAAGGGAAACCGUGAAACGUGCCGCCUGGGAAGUACGGUCGCAAGGCUGAAACUUAAAGGAAUUGGCGGGGGAGCACCACAACAGGUGGAGCCUGCGGUUUAAUUGGACUCAACGCCGGGAAGCUCACCGGAUAAGACAGCAGAAUGAUUGCCGGGCUGAAGACUCUGCAUGACUAGCUGAGAGGAGGUGCAUGGCCGUCGUCAGUUCGUACUGUGAAGCAUCCUGUUAAGUCAGG